RNAcentral lists this ribosomal RNA (876 nucleotides) under uncultured bacterium. Its description in RNAcentral is "bacterial SSU rRNA". It matches the Rfam family "Bacterial small subunit ribosomal RNA", at positions 578 to 1501 of the family's 1533-position model. The record is from RNAcentral.
GUUUGUAGUCGUCGUGAAUCCCGGCUCAACUGGAUUGCGAUGAGACUGCAGGCUGAUUGGCAGAGGGGGUAGAUCUACGGUAGCAGGAAUCGUAGAACGUGGAGGACACGAUGCGAAGCAGCCCUGGUCAGAUGACGUCAUGCAGAAGCGUGGGGAGCAAACAGGAUUAGAUACCUGGUAGUCACGCCUAACGAUGUCUACUAGUGUCGGGUUUAAUUACUUGGUAACGCAGCUAACGCGUGAAGUAGACCGCUGGGGAGUACGGUCGCAAGAUUAAAACUCAAAGGAAUUGACGGGGACCCGCACAAGCGGUGGAUGAUGUGGAUUAAUUCGAUGCAACGCGAAAAACCUUACCUACCCUUGACAUGUACGGAAGCCACGAGAGAUCGAGGUGUGCUCGAAAGAGAGCCGUAACACAGGUGUUGCAUGGCUGUCGUCAGCUCGUGUCGUGAGAUGUUGGGUUAAGUCCCGCAACGAGCGCAACCCUUGUCAUUAGUUGCUACGAAAGGGCACUCUAAUGAGACUGCCGGUGACAAACCGGAGGAAGGUGGGGAUGACGUCAAGUCCUCAUGGCCCUUAUGGGUAGGGCUUCACACGUCAUACAAUGGUACAUACAGAGGGCCGCCAACCCGCGAGGGGGAGCUAAUCCCAGAAAGUGUAUCGUAGUCCGGAUUGUAGUCUGCAACUCGACUGCAUGAAGUUGGAAUCGCUAGUAAUCGCGGAUCAGCAUGUCGCGGUGAAUACGUUCCCGGGUCUUGUACACACCGCCCGUCACACCAUGGGAGCGGGUUUUACCAGAAGUAGGUAGCUUAACCGCAAGGAGGGCGCUUACCACGGUAGGAUUCGUGACUGGGGUGAAGUCGUAACAAGGUAACC